UACGGAGGGUGCAAGCGUUAAUCGGAAUUACUGGGCGUAAAGCGCGCGUAGGCGGAUUUGUCAGUCAGAUGUGAAAGCCCUGGGCUCAACCUAGGAAUUGCAUUUGAUACUGCGAGUCUAGAGUAUGGUAGAGGUGAGUGGAAUUCCAGGUGUAGCGGUGAAAUGCGUAGAUAUCUGGAGGAACAUCAGUGGCGAAGGCG
Molecule: ribosomal RNA, 200 nt
Filed under: uncultured bacterium
Lineage: Bacteria
Description: partial 16S ribosomal RNA
Rfam family: Bacterial small subunit ribosomal RNA
Source: RNAcentral